CUGCACCACACAACUCCGCGUGCUGCUGACUCACAACCACAAGCAACGCUAGCACGCAUCUUGCCAGCCACCAGCUUCUGUGAGGUGAAGACAGAGCACGCCUGCAGCCUCACUCUGUGGCUCUCGGAUUCCAAGAAUUUCAACCAGCAACACACGCUCAGUGCACACAGCACGCUUUCAGCACAGCAUAGCACAGCAAUGGCCUUCCCUGUGCUUUUCUGGGCGACCACACGCUGACAGCUCUUCGAGGGGGCCAGGAGCUUUGAGGCCGCACCAUAUGCCAGCAAUCCGGAGUUCACUGAGGUCCAGGUCAGCAGAGCCUGGGAUUCCUUCAAGCUCCACAGGUCACAACUCCCCUCCAGAAAGACAGCAGGCUCCGUGGGUCCAUCUGCAAAGUAACUUUGACGUGACUCCUUGGUCAUGUGCGGCAACACCUGCAAUGCCAGCUCUCAGAGACACUAAGGCAAGAGGAUCAUGAGUUUGAUGCCAGUCUGUGAGUCUGAAGAGACCACUCUACAAGCUGACCACAUGACGUUCUUUGAACCCAAACACGACCAGACCCUUUGCCCUGGGGAUGGACUGAGAGAGCAGAGCUACAUCAGAUCACUGUCAGCGCACAAGUUCUGCUCAACAGCUGUGACCCUCCCAUACACAACCAGCGCAACCCAUCAGCAGCCUCCUACACAGCAUUCCAGGACACAGAACACACAGAUCACACAUACUGAAGUGUACGAAAGCUCAACCUAUAGCGAGAGAUGUGCAACAGACGCUCCACUGCACACACAGGGCUCAGCGGCCUCAGCAGGGUGGCAGCUCACCGGACAUGGUCACUCUCACCCACGAAGAAGUGACCCAAAGAUGUGCCUGUAAACCCUGAAGCUAACCACACAGCACCACUCCCAGGAAGAGAGAAAGGGUUCGUCACCUGUGUACUGCGUUUUUCAGACUUACACACAAGGUGACACCAGUUUGUACCUUUUCUAAGUGUGUUUCCCUACAAUCUGAGCCUGCCUUUCUUCAUGUCUGUGUACACGUGAACAGUAUUUUUUUUUUUUUGUCUGUCUGUCUGUCUUACAUGCGGGAUUGAAACCAGGCCUUCACAGGUUAGCUCUCGCUACCAGCUCUCUUUAAAACUGUCUUUGAGAUAAGGUCUCGCUAAAUGGUCCCACCCGGGCUGGACUGGCACCCUCCUGCCUCAGCUGCCCAGACUGCUGGGCUCACAGGAGGGAGCCACCACACCUGGGCAUUUUCAUGUUCUGGUACAAACAAAGCCAUGUCACUGGUUUGGUUUUUCUUUUCUUACUGUUUGUUUUUUUUUCUUAUUUGUUCUUGUGAGUGCAACAGUUUCUAGUUUUUUUGUUAUUAUCCUGUUCUGUCAUUUUUUCCUUUUCUUUCCUCCUGCCUGCUUCACCAAUUUCCCAAACUUUGCAUAAUCUUCCUAGUGCUCAGUCUUGCUUCUAAUAGCUUUCUCCUCUGUUUUACUACUUUCCCCCAGUCCCUUUUAAGUUUUUUCCCCUGACGGUAAAAUCACUACAUCAAGGUCAUAUUUUUUUUUGAGGUUUUAUUUAUUGUACAUGAUUUUCUGGUUUCUUUUAGAUUUUGUCAUGUAACCAGAAAUAUAGUUCACACAGUUAAAGGUAGCAAACUAACAAUACAGUUAGUCAUUUUCUGGGCUGUUUGAUGCUACAGUGAUUGCUCACUGUACUACUUUUGCCAACUGUGACAUAACUGUUCCAAUCAGCUGUUCUUCCUCCUGAGCUAAGACUGAGAUUAUCUAAGUAUCAUAAACAAUACUAUAGGCCAGUGCCAAAAACCAGGGGCCGUGCCGAAUAGGCAGCAACUUCUCAUCCCCAAUAACCCGAAGAGAUAGGAUCCUGCAACAGACUCAAGCCUAAAAGCCAGCUGCAACUGGAAGACACCUCUGAGAAGUAGUCAUUUCUUAAGAGUUCUAAACACCAGCAAUGAAGCUACCUGCUACAAGCAAUUUACAAGCAUCAACCCAGGAAUAAUUUAAUUCUUUUUAAUUUAAAAAAGCAAAAGGAAAAAAGAAAAAAAAUGAGAAGACACUUAACCAAGAUGCAACUCCACACUGCCAGCUCACCAAAGGCAAACCCUCAGGGAAAUGAGGUGGAACCAUCUGAGAGCCACCUACCUGGACGCUAACCUGGUUAACAGUGGAAGUAAAGAGGCAGACAAAUGAAGCUCUCGAGAAAUAUCAAAUCAGAGACUGAGGAAGUGAUUCAGUGGGAGAGAUCUUGCCUUGCAUUAACAAGACCCUGGGUUCAAUCCCCAGCACCACAAUAAAUCAGUAAACAAAUAAAUAAAUUUUUAAAAAUUAGAAAUAAUCUCUCAUAACUACAGAGCGGGUGAACAUAAUGAAAAAACAUGGUUAGUUACUCUUCAGCCAAUACAGAUAAAACAAAUAAGGAAAGAGAUGGAAUCCAUGAAAGUAUACACUGCAGAAUGAGCCAAUGUGAGCGCGGAAUAGCAGAUACAGAAGACAGGAUUGCAGCUGGUGACGAUGAAAAAAAGAUUUCUUAAAAUUAGCAGGGGAUCAUGAAAAAUCAGUCUAACAGCUGCCACAUGAUACAAAGAAUAACGUAAAAUCGACUGUAGUCCAUGAAAAAGCAGAAGAGUACAAACAACAUAAACCUAUUCACAAAAGACAUGGCAGGCGAGGUCAUGAAUUCGAACUCCAGUACCAAAAAAAAGGCCAUGGUAGAAAACUUCCCAAGUAAAGAAAAAGAAUUUGACAUGCAGAUAAGUAAGCAUAUAGAAUUCAAAUUAGCCAUCAUCAAAAAAGAAAAAACUAUACCGAAGAAUAUAAUAGUCAAGGUUCUAGAAAUUCAGCACAAGAACAAAAUAUUAAAAGCGGUUAGAUUCUGGGUGUGGUGGCGCAUGCCUGUAAUCCCAGCAUUUGGGAGAGUGAGGCAGGAGGUCUGCUGACAGUUUGAGGCCAGCCUAGACUACAAGUGCCUGUCUGGCAAGUGCGAGGCCAUGAGUUCAUUCCCAGUAUCAAAAAAACAAAAGCGAAACAAACAAACAACAACAAAAAAAAAAACUGGGGCUGGGGAUUUAGCUCAGCGGCAUAAGUACCUGCCUUGCUAGCAGGCAGGUCAUGAGUUCGAUCCCCGGUACCGAUAAAAAUGAAAAAAAGACAAAAAAAAAAAAAAAAAACUAAGGAAAGUUCAAGGCCAGCCUGAACUAUGUAUGUAGCAAGACUCUGUCUCAAAAAAUAAACAAAUCUAAAUAAAUAAAUAAAAAGGCUGUUAGAGAAAAGAAACAAAUCACAAAGGAGGGGGCUGGGGAUUUCGCUCAGUGGCAUAAGUGCCUGCCUGGCAAGCGUGAGAUCGUGAGUUCGAUCCCUGGUACGGCAAAAAAAAAAUCACAAAGAAAACCGCAUCAGAAUUACCACAGAUUUAUUUUGAUUAAUGAUACUGCUCUAUUCAAUAUUCUAUUUUGAUAAGUUCUAUAAUCUUCUGUAUGUCAUUUUAUUUUGCUAUACCUGAUUGAAAGAACAACUAUUGUGAUGAUAAUGAGAUACACUGUGGUACCUAUUACUGUUAUCCCGGUAACCUGCUGUGAAGUUCUGUACCAAUUUCACUACACUGUCUAAAUUCACUUUGUUCCAUCAUCUUCUGUUGUAUUUUACUACGUUCAAAAUAAUAAAAAAUUAAAAAUAAUAAUAAUAAUAAAUUUUUAAAAAAAGAAUCACUGCGGACUUCUCAACACAAAUCCUCAGGUCAAGGAAAGCUUGGAGUAAAGUAUCUCAAACUCUAAAAGAAAAUCUCCAAACCAGAUUGAUGUACCCCACAAAACUAUUUUUAAAAACUGAUGGGGAAAUAAGAUCCACAACAAAAAACACUUGAAGAAACUUAGGACCACCAAAGUAGCACUCAGAAAUGCUAUGAAGGACAUUCUACAAAGAGAUAAUGAGGACCACUCUAUGAACCCCAGAAGAAUGAAUCCACAGGAGAGCCAACCAAUUAAAUGGGAGGGGGAACAACAGGAAAAUAACAUGACAAGGGUAAGUCAACACACAUCAGUUGCAACCACCAACUAAAAGGUCUCAAUUCACCAAUCAAAAGAAACAGACUGGCAGAAUGGAUCAAGAAGCAAGAUCCAGUGGUGGUGCAUGCUUAUAAUCCUAGCACUCUGGAGGCCGAGGCAGGAAGAUCAUUGUGAGUUCAAAGUCAGCCUAGGUUCAUAGUGAUUUCAAGGCCAGUCUGAACUACAUAGCAACAUCCUGUCUCAAAAAACUUUUAAAAAUUAAAGAAAAUCGGGCCAGGGAUAUAGCUCAGCAGCACAGCACCUGCCUGGCAAGCAUAAGGCCGUUAGUUCAAUUCUCAGUGUAAAAAAAAAAAAAAAUUAAAAUUAAAAAAUUAAAGAAAAUAAAGCAAGAUUCAACCACAUGCUGCAUACAAGAAACACAUUUAAUCUAAAAAAAGAAAUUCAGACUAAAAGUCAAAGGAUGGAAAACACUGUAUGCAACAGAAACCUGGAAAAAAAGCAGGGGUUGCUACUUUAUUUGCAAAUGAAGUGGAUUUCAAGCCAAGACUGAUUAAGAGAGACAAAGAUGGUCACUACAUCCUUGUAAAUGUAACAAUCAAGAGGAAGAGAUAACAAUCAUGAAUAUAUAUGCACCAAAUAACCAGUGCACCCAACUCUAUAAAGCAAGUAUUAACAGGUAUGAAAAAUCAAAUAAGCACUAAUAUUAUAAUGGGGGAUUUCAAUUCCCCACUGCCACAAAUAGAUGAAGUAGAAAAGUCAAUGAAGAAAUAUGAAAACUGAACCAACUUUUGAACAAAUGGGCAUAGCAGAUGUUACAGGGUGUUCCACACCACAUCAGAAUAUGCAUUCUUCUCAGUUGCACAUGGGACAUUCUGUAAAACAGACCGCAUGCUAGAAUGUGCUUAAGUAAAUGCAAAGGAACCGAAAUUAUCCCAUGCACAUUAUCAGAUCAUAGUGCAACAAAAUUGGAAAUCAAUGGCAACAGAAACCACAAAUACAUGGAAAUUAAACAACGCACUCUUCAACAACCGUUAAGUCAUAGAUAAAACUAUUAAGAAGAAAUCAGACGGUCUCCACACCUAAACAACGCCAGUACAACAUACUGGAAAUAUGGGACACAGUGAAAACAGACCUAUGAGGGACAUUUAUAGCACUGAAUUACCACACCAGAAAAACAGAGCACGCUCAAAUAAACAACUUCAUGCUGAACUGCAAGCUUCUACAAAAUGAAGAGCAAGCCAAGCCCAAAGCCCAUCUGAGGGAGAAAACUGUCAAGAUCAGAGCAGAAAUUCACGCAAUAGAGACUAAGACUUAAGCAAUACUAAGAAUCGAUGAAUGGAAGAGCUGGCUUUUGAAAAUUUGAAUAAAACUGACAAACCAUGAGCCAACCUUUUCAAUAAAAUGAAAGAAAAGAAUCAAAUGCAUAUAAUUAGGAAUGAAAAGGGUGAAAUCACAAAAGAGUUGCAGAAAUUCAGAUCAUCAAUACCUACUUUGAGAACCUAUAUUCUAAUAAGAUGGAAAACACAGAAGAAAUGGACAGAUUCUUAGAUACAUAUGAGUUACCAAACCUGCUAUCACUCAAUGAAAACUAAAAAUUAUUUUAGUAAUUGAAAAUCUACUAACAAAGAAAAGUCCAGGUCUACACAGAUUAUGUGCUGGAUUCUACAGGAAAUUUAGAGAAAAACCUAAUGUCACUACUUCUCAAACUCUUCAAUGAAAUUGAAAGGGAAGCAAUCCUCCCAAAUUCACUGCUUAAAGCAAGCAUUACCCUGAUACCAAAGUCAGUAAAAGAGCCAACAAAAAAAGAACACUACAGAAUAAUCUCCCUAAUGAACACAGACAUCUUCAAUAAGAUAUUGGCAAACAAAUGCAACAAAGGACGCAACAUCAAGAAGUUUUGGGGGACUUUUUGGUUUUUG
Molecule: long non-coding RNA, 5930 nt
Organism: Cavia porcellus (domestic guinea pig)
Lineage: Eukaryota; Metazoa; Chordata; Mammalia; Rodentia; Caviidae
Exons: 4
Source: RefSeq, a predicted model, not a curated record